Molecule: ribosomal RNA, 529 nt
Filed under: uncultured bacterium
Lineage: Bacteria
Description: bacterial SSU rRNA
Rfam family: Bacterial small subunit ribosomal RNA
Source: RNAcentral
AGCGAAUAGAUACCCGGGUAGUCCACGCCCUAAACGAUGCAUAUUUGGUGUGGGCAGUUCAUUCUGUCCGUGCCGGAGCUAACGCGUUAAAUAUGCCGCCUGGGGAGUACAGUCGCAAGGCUGAAACUCAAAGGAAUUGACGGGGGCCCGCACAAGCGGUGGAGCAUGUGGUUCAAUUCGACGCAACGCGAAGAACCUUACCUGGGCUCGAACGGCUGGUUAACGGCGGUGGAAACAUCGCUACUCCGCAAGGAGGUCCAGUCGAGGUGCUGCAUGGCUGUCGUCAGCUCGUGUCGUGAGAUGUUGGGUUAAGUCCCGCAACGAGCGCAACCCUUGUCCUGUGUUGCCAUGUCGAAAGACGGAACUCGCAGGAGACCGCCAGGGAUAACCUGGAGGAAGGUGGGGAUGACGUCAAGUCCUCAUGGCCUUUAUGUCCAGGGCUACACACGUGCUACAAUGGACGGUACAAAGCGCAGCGAACUCGCGAGAGGGAGCCAAUCGCAAAAAACCGUUCUCAGUUCGGAUUGCA